GCGGGGUAAAGCCAGAGGA
RNAcentral lists this small nuclear RNA (19 nucleotides) under Arabidopsis thaliana (thale cress). Its description in RNAcentral is "snRNA_13852". Lineage: Eukaryota; Viridiplantae; Streptophyta; Magnoliopsida; Brassicales; Brassicaceae. The record is from RNAcentral.